UACAGAGGUCCCAAGCGUUGUUCGGAUUUACUGGGCGUAAAGGGUGCGUAGGCGGUUGGGUAAGUCUGACGUGAAAUCUCCGAGCCUAACUCGGAAACUGCGUUGGAUACUAUCCGGCUAGAGGAAUGGAGGGGAGACUGGAAUACUUGGUGUAGCAGUGAAAUGCGUAGAUAUCAAGUGGAACACCAGUGGCGAAGGCGAGUCUCUGGACAUUUCCUGACGCUGAGGCACGAAAGCCAGGGGAGUAAACGGG
This 253-nucleotide ribosomal RNA is filed under the name uncultured bacterium. RNAcentral describes it as "partial 16S ribosomal RNA". It matches the Rfam family "Bacterial small subunit ribosomal RNA", at positions 524 to 776 of the family's 1533-position model. The record is from RNAcentral.